CUCCAGCUUGCUGGGGGGAUUAGUGGCGAACGGGUGAGUAACACGUGAGUAACCUGCCCUUGACUCUGGGAUAAGCCUGGGAAACUGGGUCUAAUACCGGAUACGACCAUCUGGCGCAUGUCAUGGUGGUGGAAAGCUUUUGUGGUUUUGGAUGGACUCGCGGCCUAUCAGCUUGUUGGUGGGGUAAUGGCCUACCAAGGCGACGACGGGUAGCCGGCCUGAGAGGGUGACCGGCCACACUGGGACUGAGACACGGCCCAGACUCCUACGGGAGGCAGCAGUGGGGAAUAUUGCACAAUGGGCGGAAGCCUGAUGCAGCGACGCCGCGUGAGGGAUGACGGCCUUCGGGUUGUAAACCUCUUUCAGUAGGGAAGAAGCGUAAGUGACGGUACCUGCAGAAGAAGCGCCGGCUAACUACGUGCCAGCAGCCGCGGUAAUACGUAGGGCGCAAGCGUUAUCCGGAAUUAUUGGGCGUAAAGAGCUCGUAGGCGGUUUGUCGCGUCUGCUGUGAAAGACCGGGGCUCAACUCCGGUUCUGCAGUGGGUACGGGCAGACUAGAGUGAUGUAGGGGAGACUGGAAUUCCUGGUGUAGCGGUGAAAUGCGCAGAUAUCAGGAGGAACACCGAUGGCGAAGGCAGGUCUCUGGGCAUUAACUGACGCUGAGGAGCG
This 669-nucleotide ribosomal RNA is filed under the name Arthrobacter sp. ACT4IA. Its description in RNAcentral is "bacterial SSU rRNA". It matches the Rfam family "Bacterial small subunit ribosomal RNA", at positions 73 to 755 of the family's 1533-position model. Lineage: Bacteria; Bacillati; Actinomycetota; Actinomycetes; Micrococcales; Micrococcaceae. The record is from RNAcentral.